Molecule: ribosomal RNA, 252 nt
Filed under: uncultured bacterium
Lineage: Bacteria
Description: partial 16S ribosomal RNA
Rfam family: Bacterial small subunit ribosomal RNA
Source: RNAcentral
UACGUAGGUGGCGAGCGUUAUCCGGAUUUAUUGGGCGUAAAGCGAGCGCAGGUGGUUUAUUAAGUCUGGUGUAAAAGGCAGUGGCUCAACCAUUGUAUGCAUUGGAAACUGGUAGACUUGAGUGCAGGAGAGGAGAGUGGAAUUCCAUGUGUAGCGGUGAAAUGCGUAGAUAUAUGGAGGAACACCGGUGGCGAAAGCGGCUUACUGGACUGUAACUGACGUUGAGGCUCGAAAGCGUGGGGAGCAAACAGG